GACGAACGCUGGCGGCGUGCUUAACACAUGCAAGUCGAACGGAAAGGCCCUGCUUUUGUGGGGUGCUCGAGUGGCGAACGGGUGCGUAACACGUGUGUAACCUGCCCUUGACUUUGGGAUAACUUCAGGAAACUGGGGCUAAUACCGUAUAGGAGCUCCUGCUGCAUGGUGGGGGUUGGAAAUUUUCGGCGGUUGGGGAUGGACUCGCGGCUUAUCAGCUUGUUGGUGGGGUAGUGGCUUACCAAGGCUUUGACGGGUAGCCGGCCUGAGAGGGUGACCGGCCACAUGGGGACUGAGAGACGGCCCAGACUCCUACGGGAGGCAGCAGUGGGGAAUAUUGCACAAUGGGCGGAAGCCUGAUGCAGCAACGCCGCGUGCGGGAUGACGGCCUUCGGGUUGUAAACCGCUUUCGCCUGAGACGAAGCGUGGGUGACGGUAAUGGGUAAAGAAGCACCGGCUAACUACGUG
RNAcentral lists this ribosomal RNA (468 nucleotides) under uncultured bacterium. RNAcentral describes it as "partial 16S ribosomal RNA". It matches the Rfam family "Bacterial small subunit ribosomal RNA", at positions 28 to 507 of the family's 1533-position model. The record is from RNAcentral.